Molecule: ribosomal RNA, 460 nt
Filed under: uncultured bacterium
Lineage: Bacteria
Description: bacterial SSU rRNA
Rfam family: Bacterial small subunit ribosomal RNA
Source: RNAcentral
UACGGGAGGCAGCAGUGGGGAAUAUUGCACAAUGGGCGCAAGCCUGAUGCAGCCAUGCCGCGUGUAUGAAGAAGGCCUUCGGGUUGUAAAGUACUUUCAGUCGUGAGGAAGGUGUUAAGGUUAAUAACCUUAGCAAUUGACGUUAGCGACAGAAGAAGCACCGGCUAACUCCGUGCCAGCAGCCGCGGUAAUACAGAGGGUGCGAGCGUUAAUCGGAUUUACUGGGCGUAAAGCGUGCGUAGGCGGCUGAUUAAGUCGGAUGUGAAAUCCCUGAGCUUAACUUAGGAAUUGCAUUCGAUACUGGUCAGCUAGAGUAUGGGAGAGGAUGGUAGAAUUCCAGGUGUAGCGGUGAAAUGCGUAGAGAUCUGGAGGAAUACCGAUGGGCGAAGGGCAGCCAUCUGGGCCUAAUCUGACGCUGAGGUACGAAAGCAUGGGGAAGGCAAACAGGGAUUAGGAUACC